Molecule: non-coding RNA, 393 nt
Organism: Castor canadensis (American beaver)
Lineage: Eukaryota; Metazoa; Chordata; Mammalia; Rodentia; Castoridae
Source: the annotation of a RefSeq genome assembly
AUGAGGCUGCUGGGUCUUCUCCUGUGCUUGGUGACAGCUCCCCAAGGUGUCCUGUCCCAGGUGCAGCUGCAGGAAUCAGCACCAGGAUGGGUGAAGCCCUCACAAACUCUGUCCCUCACCUGUGCUGUCUCUGGUGCCUCAAUCAGCAGUUAUGCUUGGAGCUGGAUCCGCCAGCCCCCAGGGAAAAGUCUGGUGUGGAUCGGACACAUAAAUUCUGGUGGAGGCACAAGCUACAACCCAUCCCUCAAGAGCCGCAUCUCCAUCUCCAGAGACACGUCUAAGAACCAGUUCUCCCUACAGCUGAGCUCUGUGACCGCAGAGGACACAGCCACAUAUUACUGUACAAGAGACACAUACCAAGACAAUGUGUAUGACUCUGUAGGGCCUCAAUAA